GAUGAACGUUGGCGGCGUGCCUAACACAUGCAGGUCGAACGAAAGUAGCAAUACUUUAGUGGCGCACGGGUGAGUAACACGUAGCUUACCUCCCUCUCAGCGCGGGAUAACGACUCGAAAGAGUUGCUAAUACCGCAUAAGCUCACGGGUUCUAGAGACUUGUGAGAAAAGGUGCAAAUCACUGAGAGACGGGGCUGCGGCCCAUCAGCUAGUUGGCGCGGAAAGGCGCACCAAGGCGACGACGGGUAGGGACCUGAGAGGGUCGA
This 266-nucleotide ribosomal RNA is filed under the name uncultured bacterium. RNAcentral describes it as "partial 16S ribosomal RNA". It matches the Rfam family "Bacterial small subunit ribosomal RNA", at positions 28 to 304 of the family's 1533-position model. The record is from RNAcentral.